GGGAGCUUGGGGUGGGCUUCGGGAGCGCAGGGAACGGCGGGAGCCGGGAGGUGACGGCUAGCAGCGUGAGAAGGCCGCUGGCUCCUGAGAAAUCCCCCUCCUCCAGGUGGUUUUGUCCUUUUGGACCAAUUAUCUAACCUGGGCCUGGACUCCAUCUACCACUGUCCUGCCUGGUUCACUGCAGCUCACUUCAUCUUCCUGUGCCUUCUCUGAAAGGGCCCCUCCAAAAGUUUCCUGGAAACUCUCAAACAACUGAGAAGGUGCCUCGACAUCUGAUUUGCCCCAAACCUCUAUACACUGGACAUCUUCUGAAUAAGGCUGUGUUGUAUGUUGGGACAAGCAAAGGGAUGGAAAUCAAGAAUUCUGGGUUUUAGUCCUGACUGUCACUACAUGGCUGUGUUACUUCUGACUCUGUGAAGCAGAACUCGGGCCUCUAGCGUCUGCUAGUCUAGAUCUAAAGGUGUUUCCUGAGGGACAGUUUGGCCUGGCAUGCAGGUACCUCUGCAGACCACAACAGUGCACCGAAAACACCCCCUCCCAGCACGCACACAAGUCUGGCUCCUCAGCCAAACAUCAAACACCAACACUGCUGCCCAUGCCAGAUGCCAAGUGAGAUAAUGUGUGUUAUACCCUUAGUGUGUUACAAA
Molecule: long non-coding RNA, 647 nt
Filed under: Homo sapiens (human)
Lineage: Eukaryota; Metazoa; Chordata; Mammalia; Primates; Hominidae
Description: non-protein coding LINC01185:1
Source: RNAcentral